Molecule: ribosomal RNA, 524 nt
Filed under: uncultured Acidobacteriota bacterium
Lineage: Bacteria; Pseudomonadati; Acidobacteriota
Description: bacterial SSU rRNA
Rfam family: Bacterial small subunit ribosomal RNA
Source: RNAcentral
UCGGGAAUUUUGGGCAAUGGGCGAAAGCCUGACCCAGCAACGCCGCGUGAAGGAUGAAAUCCCUCGGGAUGUAAACUUCGCAAGAACGGGAAGAAUAAGUAAGAGUUAAUAUCUCUUACGAUGACGGUACUGUUUGUAAGCUCCGGCUAACUCCGUGCCAGCAGCCGCGGUAAUACGGGGGGAGCAAGCGUUGUUCGGAUUUACUGGGCGUAAAGGGCGCGUAGGCGGCCACCGCAAGUCGACUGUGAAAUCUCCGGGCUUAACCCGGAAAGGUCAGCCGAUACUGCGGGGCUAGAGUGCAGAAGGGGCAACUGGAAUUCUCGGUGUAGCGGUGAAAUGCGUAGAUAUCGAGAGGAACACCUGCGGCGAAGGCGGGUUGCUGGGCUGACACUGACGCUGAGGCGCGAAAGCUAGGGGAGCGAACGGGAUUAGAUACCCCGGUAGUCCUAGCCUUAAACGAUGAAUGCUUGGUGUCUGGGGUUUUAUAGUCCCCGGGUGCCGUCGCUAACGCUUUAAGCAUUCCG